GAUCACGCCCUGGGCUGAAGGCAGACGCUUAAUGACUGAGCCACCCAGGCGCCCCUAAAGAGGUACCUUGCAUGUGAUUUACACAGUGAAUGGCCCUGCUUUCGGAGCAAGUUAAUGAUAUAAUAUCCCCAUUUAUAUUCAGAGCAGUCAACACUUUCUAGCUCUCAGAAUAAUAAAAGCACCUGCAUUUAAUAUACAUGGAAGAAUGGGAAGGCAAAUAGCAGAUAAGGCACAAUCAGAAUUAUUCAUUAUUGAAUGCUUUUUGGAGGUGGGCUGAGACUUAUAUUUUACAAAAGAAAAGCUGUAAGCUUCUUCAGGUCAUUAGAAGAGAUCUGGAUUAUCAGUUGACGCAUGAACUGCACCAUACCGAGAAUUGAAAACACCUCCCCCAGAGGCACCUCCAGAUUUUAGCGAAAUCUGCUCAACAUUUCCGCGUCCCUAUGAUGGAUCAGAGGCAUUCAGAUCUCUGCAAAGACAUCAGAGGAGGAACGCAAAAUGUGUCUGCGUUGAUGUCACUGUGAAGGUUUUCAGUGCACAUGAGCUCUAGGCAGCUUUCAUAUUUCUGCAGGUUGAUGACAAGGAAGAAUAUAUAAGAAAACAGAAACCAACUCCAUCUAGCUAACAUGAAAGGAAUUUAUUGAUGGGACAGUCGGGUCCUGAAAUCUAAGAGUUUAAAUAACCAGCCUUUGAAUGGGCCAGAUCCAGGCAACUCCAGGGACCUCAGAAAAAGAAAAUCAUGGACCUUUUUUCUAGAACACUGACAUCCGUAUUUCUCAUUUUGAGUGAUCUGCAGUGUCAGAUGGACCCGCUCUGGCCAGGAAGAACUGGCCAAGCAGUUUUCCAAAGUGAUUGUAACGUUUUACAUUCCCGCCAGCGAUGUAUGAGAGCUCCAAUUGUUCCAUAUCCUCACCUCCACCUGGCCCCUGGAAGUGCUGCUUCAGCCACUGAUGACCUGUUUUCCUCCAUCCUCUUAUUUUGCUUCUGAAAUACAGUCAGUGUUUUCAGCCGCUUGUUUCCGGCAAGAUGUGGAUUCAUUCUCAGGAUCCUGAGAAAUUUUAAUUUCUGGAUUUGUCCUGCGAGGGAUCACAGUAAUACUGUCAAGUGACGGGACCAUUUUUUAACAGAGCAAGUUGUGUGAACUGGUUGAAUGGAGUGCCAUGAAGGUCUUUAAUAAAUUAUAGGUGGAUUUAUGCGUUCUGCUCAGGGCCAAGGUAGGUUGGCCGAGUUGAAAUGAAAUGGGACAUAUUCAUCCAGAAGGUCCAGUGGGUCCUCGGUAUUAGAGAAAAAAGAUUCAUGAAUGUAUGCUAUGUUUUUCACCUCACAGCCUUCCUAUUCUACAUGGACAAUUGUCUCUAGGAUUGAAUAAUCCCAUCACAUGAAUGUAACACAUUGUCUAGUUGGUUACUUAGGACAGUUUCUUCAGAGUAACCCAACUUACCUUCUGUAAAGUCAUAGGAGUGAGCAGUCUCUCAAAACCAGCCCCACGGUUAAAAGAGGAAAGCAUCAAAGCAAUCUGAGAUGGAUGGGCCUCGUUUGUAUUCUUACCAUCUUUAAGAACAAAUAUGUCACAACCUUUCUUGUGACUAGUGUUUCCCAGCGUGGAUUACAUUUCCUACCUCCCGUGCAUUGUUUAGGAGGAAGAGAUGACCGUAGUUGACAGGAGAGAGCUUCUGCUGAGCUCGGCCGCUUGUAGGGAUGUUGUUGGCUUUGUCAGUCCAUUGUGACUUUCCAUACCCAUCUAUAAGUAACCUCCUGUGAACUGUGCUCCUGAGAAAAGUGUGAAGAUGAGAAGUAGUGAGAUUUUAAAUUAGCAGUGUUUCCCUAACCCGGGGCCAAAGUGUUGGCAGAAGCUGUGAUGUUUGGAAAUUAUUGCUG
Long non-coding RNA from Ailuropoda melanoleuca (giant panda), 1875 nucleotides. RefSeq lists it as uncharacterized. The transcript is spliced from 10 exons. NCBI's taxonomy places the organism in Eukaryota, Metazoa, Chordata, Mammalia, Carnivora, Ursidae. The record is from RefSeq and is a predicted model, not a curated record.